GGAAGGCGGAAGCAGACGCAGCCAGCCGCAGCCAUGACAAGCAGCAUGUGAAGAUGCAGAGUGACGCAGCAGCAGCAGCAGCAGCAGCAGCAGCAGCACACAGGAUGACUGCACUGAAGUCCUCCUCUCACACAGGCAACAGCAGCUCAGCAGGCUGGGAAACCCCAAGAGAACUUCCAAGAUUAAUUCAUGCUCCGUUUUCAAUACAGUGCCAACAUAAAGCGAGAGGAUACCUGGCCCCUCUGUGAACCAAAAUGAUCCAGAUGCUAAGGUUGUUGAGCAUUUGUGGGAACAGGAAUCAAAGAGCCUCCUCACUCCUCUGUGUCUAAUGCAACCCCAUUACAAUUAUAAGUUCUCCUUAAGCCUGAACAGUGUAGAAGAUCAGAAGGUGAGCCUGGGCUCUGAGGCUUCAAAUUCUGGCUCUGCCACUUACUAUCUUCAUGACCUAUACGGUACACAGCAUUCCCAUGCCUCACUCCAUUUGUCUAAGAAACGAGCAUACCAGCCCUGGGCAGUUGGAAAGGUUAUGUGAAAUACCACAGUACUGCAGUACUGGCAAAUGGAACAAUAAAGUCAACAGCAAACUGUGGGGAACUAUAAAAAUGAAUUCAAAUUUCAUUUAAAAGCUUAUUUUCCAGACUGGAAAAGUUCAUCAUUUAAUUCUUUUUCUUUCCCUCAUUUUAAGUGUAUCAUGUUUUGCCUGCAUGCACAUAUGUGCACCAUGUAUGUGCUGUGUCUGAGGAGGCCAGAAAAAGGGCCUUGAGUCCCCUGGAGCUAGUCACAGCAGUUGUAGAGCAUCAUGGAGGUUCUGGACACGGAACUUGGUGCUCUGUGAAAGCAGCCAGUGCUCUUAAGUGUGAGCUAAGUCAUCUCUCCAGCCUCUGAUAAUUUCAUUCUAAGAAUUCUCUAACCUCACCAUGCCUUUUGAAGACUUUUGUUUUUGUUUUUAAAGGCAUAUUCUUCAGAAAGGCAACAAUGUCUACUGUGAAUUUUUUGCUUUGUUUUGUUUUCCUGAGCUGGUCAACAAAAUUUGAAAUCCGUAUUUCAAAAAUUAAAAAGAAUUUGGUGAUUUUG
Peromyscus maniculatus bairdii (prairie deer mouse) is the source of this 1074-nucleotide long non-coding RNA. RefSeq lists it as uncharacterized. NCBI's taxonomy places the organism in Eukaryota, Metazoa, Chordata, Mammalia, Rodentia, Cricetidae. The record is from RefSeq and is a predicted model, not a curated record.